RNAcentral lists this ribosomal RNA (429 nucleotides) under Chloroflexota bacterium. RNAcentral describes it as "Chloroflexi bacterium partial 16S ribosomal RNA". It matches the Rfam family "Bacterial small subunit ribosomal RNA", at positions 355 to 776 of the family's 1533-position model. Lineage: Bacteria; Bacillati; Chloroflexota. The record is from RNAcentral.
UGGGGAAUAUUGCACAAUGGGCGCAAGCCUGAUGCAGCCAUGCCGCGUGUAUGAAGAAGGCCUUCGGGUUGUAAAGUACUUUCAGCGGGGAGGAAGGGAGUAAAGUUAAUACCUUUGCUCAUUGACGUUACCCGCAGAAGAAGCACCGGCUAACUCCGUGCCAGCAGCCGCGGUAAUACGGAGGGUGCAAGCGUUAAUCGGAAUUACUGGGCGUAAAGCGCACGCAGGCGGUUUGUUAAGUCAGAUGUGAAAUCCCCGGGCUCAACCUGGGAACUGCAUUCGAAACUGGCAGGGUAGAGUCUUGUAGAGGGGGGUAGAAUUCCAGGUGUAGCGGUGAAAUGCGUAGAGAUCUGGAGGAAUACCGGUGGCGAAGGCGGCCCCCUGGACAAAGACUGACGCUCAGGUGCGAAAGCGUGGGGAGCAAACAGG